This 469-nucleotide ribosomal RNA is filed under the name uncultured bacterium. RNAcentral describes it as "partial 16S ribosomal RNA". It matches the Rfam family "Bacterial small subunit ribosomal RNA", at positions 28 to 507 of the family's 1533-position model. The record is from RNAcentral.
GACGAACGCUGGCGGCGUGCUUAACACAUGCAAGUCGAACGGAAAGGCCCUGCUUGCAGGGUGCUCGAGUGGCGAACGGGUGAGUAACACGUGGGUGAUCUGCCCCUUACUUUGGGAUAAGCCUGGGAAACUGGGUCUAAUACUGGAUAGGACCAUGCUGUAGGUGGUGUGGUGGAAAGAUUAGUUUCGGUAAGGGAUGAGCUCGCGGCCUAUCAGCUUGUUGGUGGGGUAAUGGCCUACCAAGGCGUCGACGGGUAGCCGGCCUGAGAGGGUGGACGGCGACAUUGGGACUGAGAUACGGCCCAGACUCCUACGGGGGGCAGCAGUGGGGAGUAUUGUGCAAUGGGCGCAAGCCUGAUGCAGCGACGCCGCGUGGGGGGUGACGGCCUUCGGGUUGUAAACUCCGUUCAGCCAUGACGAGGCCCUUGUGGUGACGGUAGUGGUAGAAGAAGCACCGGCUAACUACGUG